This 742-nucleotide ribosomal RNA is filed under the name uncultured bacterium. Its description in RNAcentral is "bacterial SSU rRNA". It matches the Rfam family "Bacterial small subunit ribosomal RNA", at positions 8 to 796 of the family's 1533-position model. The record is from RNAcentral.
AGAGUUUGAUCAUGGCUCAGAACGAACGCUGGCGGCAUGCCUAACACAUGCAAGUCGAACGAAGGCUUCGGCCUUAGUGGCGCACGGGUGAGUAACACGUGGGAACCUGCCUCUUUGUUCGGAAUAACUGCGGGAAACUGCAGCUAAUACCGGAUACGCCCUACGGGGGAAAGAUUUAUCGCAGAGAGAGGGGCCCGCGUCCGAUUAGGUAGUUGGUGGGGUAAAGGCCUACCAAGCCGACGAUCGGUAGCUGGUCUGAGAGGAUGAUCAGCCACACUGGGACUGAGACACGGCCCAGACUCCUACGGGAGGCAGCAGUGGGGAAUAUUGGACAAUGGGCGGAAGCCUGAUCCAGCAAUGCCGCGUGAAUGAUGAAGGCCUUAGGGUUGUAAAGUUCUUUCGUCGGGGACGAUGAUGACGGUACCCGAAGAAGAAGCCCCGGCUAACUUCGUGCCAGCAGCCGCGGUAAUACGAAGGGGGCUAGCGUUGUUCGGAAUUACUGGGCGUAAAGGGCGCGUAGGCGGCCAAUCAAGUUAGGCGUGAAAGCCCCGGGCUCAACCUGGGAAUUGCGCUUGAUACUGUAUGGCUUGAGUUCGGGAGAGGUGAGUGGAAUUCCCAGUGUAGAGGUGAAAUUCGUAGAUAUUGGGAAGAACACCAGUGGCGAAGGCGGCUCACUGGACCGACACUGACGCUGAGGCGCGAAAGCGUGGGGAGCAAACAGGAUUAGAUACCCUAGUAGUCC